AUAUAUAUAUAUAUAUAUAUAUAUAUAUAUAUAUAUAUAUAUAUAUAUAUAUAUCUACUAUUUAUUCUUUAUUUUUGGUAUUGUUUUAACCCCCCUCUUCUUUGCUCCCAUACCCGCAUGAUCAGUUAUGGGCUCAUGAGAGGUGCAAGUACAUGAACCUAUUUCCAUAUUUUUCUUUUGUCCUUAAUUCCUUUUCUUUUCUUUUCUUUUCUUUUCUUUUUUGGUUUUUUGAGAAAGAGAGGUUGAAAUUUUGUGAGGCUUCAUUUGGAUGGAGAGUAAAGGGGAGAAAAGAAUAGAAAGUUUGCUGAAAAUAAAAAGGAAUCGUUUUUUUUCUUAUUUGAAUGGAAAUCUGAAAAAAAAGAAGAAAAAAAAAAGAGAGGAAAAGAAUGAUCUUCCACAGCAGUCUAUUUUUUUUUCCCUCUCUCUAUAGAAGUAACAAAGAAUCAUAAUUUGUUUAUUUAUUUAUCUUAGGGACCAUAUAUACACAUUGCUUAUUAAUCACAUAAUAAAUAUCCUUGUACAUUUCUCAUUAGUACUGGCUAUUUUGGAAGGAUCCAUCUAUAUAUGGUGCACAAAUUUUUUUAUUUUUUUUUGCUAUUUGUUUUUUUCCUCUCUAUGUACAGCUUCCUAAGAUUGGUUCUAUUACUAGGGUUUUCAAGAGGUUUGGAAUUAAACAGGAAACCCAGUAACCAUUGUGGAGAUCAAAAGCUCAAUUCAAACUUCAGGAAUUUUCAGAGGUACUUUAUAAUGGCUUCAGAAGAUCUAAUUGGAGGGUAUGAAAGAGCUUCCUUCAGUCCACUCAUGGAUGGUUGUGGGGUUUGAAUUCGCUGCCGACUCAUUCAAUCAAACACUCGGUAGAAACAACAAUUCAAGCACGCUCAGUAGAAUCAAUGGAAUUGAUCCUCUAUUGAAGGCACGCACAAAAGUGGAACCAGACCUCAGUUACUGAGUGAAUGAGUGAAUGAUGCGGGAGAUUAUUCUCUCCUUCUCAUUCCAUGCUUGGACUGAAGGGAGCUCCCUCUUUCUCUUCUGUUGGACCUUCUUCACUAUUUUUCCUUCUUUUGCUUGAUCAAUUACAUCAUCGGAUAACACAUCGCUCUCUUUUGCUUUUUUUCAAAUCCUAGUUGAUUUAUAUUUCUAGCUAAGUUUAUUUCUUUAAGAAAUAAACGAAGCGGGUAGCAUGUUAUCUUUCUCUCUCAAUAAAAAAAAAAGACAUCGCUCUUUUUUUAUUUCUUCACCGUUUUAAGUUAGUGGUUUUUUUUUUAUAAUUACAUCUCUUAUCUAUUGUUGCUUCUUUCGCUAGUUAAUUAAGAAACUUCAUAGGUGUUAUUACUAGAUGAGCCUUAUCUUAGUCUAGGUAGAAUAUGACAUAUCUGCCGGAACCGAUCACGUAUAUAAAAACACCUAAUUAAAUAGUUCCCCCAUUAAUUAAUUAGGUAGAUCUCAGAUAUUAUUUCCAUGUCGGUCGUCUUCGGUAUAAUUCACCAUAGACGAGGCAAAGGCAAGAAUAAAUUAAUUUGGCCCCAUUAGUAUAUAUCAAUGCUUCACAUUUUUUGUUAUUAUUUCAUGUGGAACUAAACUUAUUACGCGUAGGUAUACAGCUGACUCAUUUUAUAGAUGCGCAAUAGAUUCUUUAUUUAUUUCCAAUUAAUUUUCCUUCAUAAGUAUAUCGAGUUAUGUUCAUGAUCUAUUUGUUGAAUCAUCGGAUAAUUAAAACAAAUUGUCCGGUAAAACCAGCCGAAGUACAAAGUUCGCAAAGCGACGAACUCCAAGUACUUAGGUUUCUACAUGGCAGAUCUCGAAUAUUUUUCACUUGUCUUAUCAUUUAAUAUAUAAGGUAUUAUACAGUAGAUAAUGUGAGUGGAAUUCAUUCAACGCAAGUACUUCGGUUCGCUGAAUUUUUUUCUUAUAUAUCAUACAUAUAAAAUCCUUUAAAACCUGCAUUAUUUUCUACGUGGGAGCUAUUUUUUCACACGCACAUAAUCCAAUGAUAUUCAUCUUUGCAUAUCAAAUUUUAAUCAUGUUAUUAUUUAUUUUUCUUGUGCUCAACUAUAUGGCCAAGGAAUCAAAGUAGUGGAGCCUAACAUUUGGAGCUAAGCUAUGGAUCACUGUGCAUGUCUCAUAUCUAAGUUGGUGACAAACUUUGAGUUACCCGGGCCAUUGAACCUUGCAAUACUCCCAACUAGUUCAAAAUCAAUUAGCAUCAUUUGAUGUGAACAAAUCAUGGAACUUUUGGCUCUGAUACCAUUUCCGGGUCGAUGGAUGCGACACGUCGUUUCGAACCUAUCCAUUUCGAACCUAUCCAUCCGAAAAGCUUAAGCCUAUAGCUAGCUAGAUACAAUUAAUGCAAUUAGAUGCAUCAACCCUUAGGUGCAAAUUUUAGUUAUCUUCAACUAGUGGCUAGUGCACCCGCACCCACCCAGGAAUCCCGUAAAAGUUGAUGUUAUUUUAUUUGUGUUAAGGAUUUAACCCCUGCUAUAAUUGUGAUUCUAAUCUUUCUUUUGAUCACAAUGACUCCAACUGCGGCUUCUUGGAACUUGGAUUGGUUUUUAAAUAUGCAAUUCCUCUUUAUCUUCUGGUCAAAGCAUGCAGGGAAUACCAAUGAUGCACUCUUUAAUUUGAGUUGUUCAAACUCCCACUCAAACUGAUGUAGACACCCACUUCAUGCGUUUGUAUAUAUUUACCUGCAAAUGCACAAGUAUAUAUACACAUAUCAGAGAGAGAGAGAGAGAGAGAGAGAGAGAGAGAGAGAGAGAGAGAGAGAUACAUAGAUAGUUAUAAAUGAAAGCAUUUCACUUCGACAUUGUCUACAUAUAUAAUAAAAGCUUAUGCAAAAGCCUAUCUCUAGCUUGUGCUUUUUGGUCUGAAAAGCUUCAAGUAGAGCAGAUAUUACUGUUUACCAACAGUGAAAGUACAAAACUUUCAGGUUUAUUAUUUUUAUAUUAGUGACCUCAUGUGUUGUUUACUUGUUUGCAGUGUAAAGAUUUUUCUUUCUUUAAAAAAAGAUUUGGUGUACAAUAAUAUUAUUUUGGUACUUUCUCUAUGUAUCCCUUCAUUAAACACUGUUCCCUCUUCAGCAAUUCCCAGAAGGGUGUGAAGAAAACAUAAAGAGAGGGUUUAUUUUAUACUCUUUUUUUAUUUCCCUCAAGUAGCAUGUUAUUCUUAGAUUAUGUUGUGGAAGUACAAUUACAUCAGUAUUUAAUGUUUAUGCUGAGGUGUAUCUUCUGAAAAUGUGUAAUAUAUAAUUCCCAUUAA
Long non-coding RNA from Ananas comosus (pineapple), 3255 nucleotides. RefSeq lists it as uncharacterized. NCBI's taxonomy places the organism in Eukaryota, Viridiplantae, Streptophyta, Magnoliopsida, Poales, Bromeliaceae. The record is from RefSeq and is a predicted model, not a curated record. The transcript is spliced from 2 exons.